Non-coding RNA from Xyrichtys novacula (pearly razorfish), 13113 nucleotides. NCBI's taxonomy places the organism in Eukaryota, Metazoa, Chordata, Actinopteri, Labriformes, Labridae. The record is from the annotation of a GenBank genome assembly.
UUUGGCUCAGCAGGACUGGGGUCUCAAUAGACAAGUCCUCUAAAAGAGAGAGACUGUCUCCUCUCCUGUUUGAGCUCCCCUAUAAUCGACUCUGAUAAACUUCAGGAUCUACUAAGAACGUUUGAAACACUUAAAGUACAUUUCAGGUCUUCUCACUCCAAAAACAAUCAUCUAUCACCUGAGGUCCUCCGCAGGAUAAGACUCUGCUUGCCAUUCUUCGAACUAGACUGAAGACCAGUCCAGUUUUUGCUCAUCUGACGAACAGCUUCAAAAAGCCGAAACCUCUCCCAAAACUCAGUCUGUUUGCUUCAAAGUUAUUUUGAUUUGAGCUCAAAGGUCAGUCUGUUAUCUAUCUGCUCAGGUGAUUAUAGUUUAUCUUUUUAUCUAUAUCGAUCAUUUCCCUUCAGAGGAGCUGGUAGUUUAUAGGAGUUAAAAGUUCUUCAAUCAUAAGUGUUCUGAUAACGACAGAAAAGACUCUUUAACUUCACCAUCCUGUCUCAAGUGUUUUUAUUUAUACGUUUACUGAAGUGCAUGAUAGGAAACUUCUCCUCGUCCUGUGAAUAAGCACACAGACACCAAUCCACCAUCUCUGCUCUGACAUGAAAACACCUCCUGAACUCUGAGCUGCUGCUGCUCUCAGCGUUACCUUGACUCUUCGUGACACAACACUCACAUACCGAGACACACACGCACGCACGCACACACGCACACACACACACAUACACACACACACACACACACACACACGCCCGAAUGAUGAGAGGUCACAUGAACAAUGUUUUGGCUUCUUCUAUACAGGCUGCUUCUGUCUGACUGAUAAACACAGACUGGUUUGAGCUGGAUCAAGAAACAGGCAACAACAGCAGCAUGAACAUGCACAGACACACAGAUCUGCACACACACACACACACACACACACACACACACACACACACACACACACACACACACACAGACAUACACACAGAGACGGAUCUGCAGACAGUUUUCAGAGACCUUGAAUGAAAACCAUUUCCAUGAAUGAUAGACUCUUUUUCUUCAUCCACAGACAGGCUGAGGUUUUGUUUUGUGUCUGCUUUAGGAAUGAGACUCUGAAACUCGAUUCUCAGGAAGCUCAGGAACAAAACACUGAGACAAACUCCAGGACAAAAAGUCUGUCCUCUGUAUCUCUGAUAUCAUGUUUUAACCACACCCUUAAAAAAAGACACACAAAGACGUCAAAUCUCCAGAGAAAGGCUGAUAUCAGAUCUUUGGGGAACUUUAUCAGGCUGUACCUUCCACCUAUAAGAGCUGAAACUGUGAGGUAAAGGUAGCAUAGAAAGUUCAUCAUCUGCUGCUUUGCUCAGUACAUUCAGUUCCUCUCAAACUCUUGCGAACAUUAGCUCAUGAACUGCACGAAAAGUUUCAUGAAAUGUGUGUCUGUGCCUGAAACGCUACGCACAAACCUCACAUGAUCGUGUUUAAAACUGUGUAAACAUCAAGCUGCAGUGACCUAAGGAUCUGCUGCAGAGAGGACAAGUUCUGACCGAGCCAGGAGUUUGGGAUUUCUCUCCAGGAGAUGUUUCAGACGUGGUUUCUACUCAGAAGACCAAAAAGAUAAAUCAAAAUACGAAUAUUACUGCAGAGAAAUCAUUGGUGCUGUCAUUAUUGGUGUUGAUGAAGAGAUUCUCCAGAUCAGUAGGGUUAGGGUCAAGAAGUGUAGCCUGUAAUUCAGAAAAUCAGCUCUGAGAGUGAAGCACAGCAGACCAUACAGAAGCAGAAGAACAACACAAAAUGGUAUCAUCAGCGUAAAGAUCGAUUUUAAAAAAUGAGGUCUGCCAUCAGCCUUCAUGUAUUUGCACUCUCUGUCCCUCCUACUUUCUGUUAGCCUUACUGUACCCUCCUGGAGCACAGCAGACCGCACAGAAGCAGCAGAACAACACACAACGGUAUCAUCAACAUAAAGAUUGAUUGUAUUCAAUAUGAAAAAGAAACCUCAUCUUUUUGACUAAUGAAAUGACUUUAAAAUAUAUCUGGAUAACUUCUCAUGGAUGACUAGAUGAGUACUGACAAUGGUGUGGUGGUGGUUGUUGGUCAUAGCACAUCAGCAGGAGUAGCUGUGCUUUUCCAUCAUCAAUGUCUUGACCUCUGCUGCAUGUAUUUUGCUCUAAUUUUUUAAAUUUAAUUAUUUAACUAUUUUUUUUAUUUAUUAUUUGAACCAUUAUUAUUAUUGUUGUUAUAUUGUUAUUUUAUUUUAUCUUUUACUUAUUUACAUUUAUAUUUUAUAUUCUUCUUCUUCUUAUUAUUAUUAUUAUUAUUACUCUUAUUUUAAGGGAUGUAGAUAAGAGUUGGCCUAUGGGGUUUGUUCUGGGAGGGGGGCAGGUUUUGGUGAAAUUUGUAGUUCUACUGUUGUUAUUGAAGUUGUAUACUGUUUAUUAAAAAUGUUCAUAAAUAAAUUGUUAGAUAAACAAACAAACAAAAAAGAUUGUAAAAAAUGAGGAGUUCUGACCUAAUCAGUAAAGCAGCAAAGCUGCUUGAAAACAGAGAGUUGAUGGUCUGCCAUCAUCCUUCAUGUAUUGCAAGUUCUGUACCUCCUACUUCCUGUUUGCUUCACUGUACCCUCCUUAACCAGCUGAGAGUGAUGCACAGCAGACUGUACAGAAGCUGCAGAACAACACACAAUGGUAUCAUCAGAGUUAAGAUCGAUUUUACAAAGUGAGAAGGAGUUUGUACCUUAUCAGUAAAGCUUUAACACUGCCUGAAGGCAGGGAGUUUAUGAUCUGCCAUCAUCCUUCAUGUAUUUGCACUUUCUGUCCCUCCUACUUCCUUCAAGAUUUGUUUAUUUGUCAUGUGCAUGUUAAACAAGGUCAACAAUGCAAUGAAAUGCCCUGGAUGAGAGGACCGCUUGACUCAAAGGAGUACAGAUGAAACACACAAUAAGUACCUCCCCCUCCUACCCACCCACGUUCCUGCUGUAUCUUGUGACUUUACAACUCAUCCUGUGGACGUGUGCAAUAUGGUCACUGGACCUUAGUCUAGCACUUCUGUGCAAUAUGGGCUACAUGCAAUAUCAAUCUGACAGUAUUGAAUGCAUUUAUUUAUUUAUUUAUCGCUAUAAUACAUAUAAUUAUUUAUUAAAUGUCUACUUCCUCCUUACUUAUGAAACAAUGAAUCACUAGCACUGACAUGUUUACUUGCACUCUGGUGAGAUGUGAAAAUACUUUUCGCUGUACUGUACUUGUACUGUACAUUGACAAUAAAUUGAAUCUCAUCUCAUCUCUCAUCUCAUGUUGCACAUGAUAAAUAAUGGUGUACGAAUUGCUGUACUGCACAUGGUAUUGCACAUCAUAGAUGAUAUUGCACAGUUAAGUGGGUUAUUGCACAGAGUAUUGUCUGGUGAUACUGUCAGGAGUUUAGUACACGAGUAGUUUAAUUGUACUCUCCUUUACUGGCAUAGAGUGAAGCACAGCAGACUGUACAUGAAGCAGCAGAACAUCACACAAUGGUAUCAUCGGCGUAAAGAUCGAUUCUACAAAAUGAGGUCUGCUAUCAGCCUUCAUGUAUUUGCACUUUCUGUCCCUAGCUUCAUUGUACUCUCCUUAACCAGCUGAGGGUGAAGCUACAGUUUUGUGAGUGUGUAUCGUGGCACAGUAACUGUUGCCGUGGUACUCCAUAAUAAACUAAAAGUCCGUCUGUAACCAGAAACCAGACUCUAUAGACAAAAACUGUGACUAUCCCGCAGAAUAUGGGAGUCAAGGUCUUCCUCUGCCUUUCGAUGAUUUGUGUUCUUGUUUCAGACACAAGUUAUUCCUCCUUUCCAAACCUGUGGUAACAAAAACAAUUUAAUACAAUGGUCUGAACAAACUAACCAAUCUGAGCGAAGGAAGAGCAACAGCUCCUGUUUUCUGCAAGAGAAAGGACUCGAUUUAAGGAGAGCAACGUCACGGUUGUUUUUGAUUUUAGACAUCCUCCUCUUUAACAAACAGCUACAUCUCUGCAGAGAUCUUUACUGUUUUAGUGUCAGACACUUAAAAAACAACCUGAGCCAGUGAGGGUCAAAAACAAGAACUUUUUAAACAAACCAAAACAAACAAUUACAUUUCAGCUUUUACAGCCUGAUUCACUGAUUUCACUGAAAUACCUCUUGAACGUCUUCACCUGUUAAAUACUCAAUUAUCUAAAAAUAGAGCUCAGGUACAAAAACAUGGAGUUUGAAACGAUCGAGGGGCUUUUGGUGUGUAUUUAUACCUCGAGGUUAUGAUCAUGGUCGUCGCGGGUUAGUGUUCAAAAAUAAAUCAUCUGCAUGUUUUCAUCAACCUGCACAUGUGUCAGACGAACAUGCACGUUGAUGCACACAUUGGUCCAAACACACACACUCCUGUGCACGGUGCUUCAGAGGUAUGUGGGCUGAGGGCCCGCUCACAGGCUGUCCUUGGUGACUCCUAAACAGGAAUCAGGAUUGGCUGCUGCGCUGUGUUUGGAUCAGCUGUUUCCAAACAGCCCACAGAAAACUUGACUUUAAUCAAAUCCAAACUGUGAGAGCGGAAAAUACAAACACACUUCUCUCUUUGUUGCGUGCACACACGUUUCUUCAUGCGGGAGCUUCUUCAUCUUCAAAAACAUGCUGAGACACUCGCCCUUUAUCCUGGCAUCCUGUCCAUGCGCAGACGGCAAGCCAACAAUCUAUGGACGUUACCAAGACUGCCAAAAACAAACCCGAGCUGUCUGCACUCGUAUCAAAGCUCUGAGAUAUGAUCGAUGAGAGAGAGGGUUGUGCUUUCAAACCCCGCUCCUCUGCAGGCUGAGGAGAAAAUAAACCGCAGCUGUACAUCAGUCCGUAAAAUGUUAUCCACCCAUAUUAAAGCACCCUUACAAAGGUACAGAGGUAAAAAUAAACAUGCUGAUACUAGCAAGUCAAGGAAUAAACAAACAGACAGAGCUGGAUGUGAGGCUCCUCAUCUGAUAUUUUCAUCGUAUCAGCCAAAUCCCAGUCCUGAAUGGAUGCUGGUGUUUAUGUAGAAGUUGGAGUCAUUGCUUGGACCUUUUAGAGGGCAAAAUCCUACAAAGAGAAGAGGAGAGAACCGAGGACUGACCCCUGAGGAACUCCAUAAACCAGAGUAUUACAGGCAUGGUUGAUGAUUGUAGAGAUUGGUAAUUAUUUUGAACCAUUUCUAUGGCGAUUAUGGUCCUAUGGUGCGAUCUCCACAAAGUGAAGAGAAAAAAGAAUGGAAAAAAUCCGUUCACCCUAGCAGGUGCAGGGCUGCAAAAACAUUGACCAAUAGGUGCCAUCCGUCCCGGACAGCUCCUAUUGGUCAAUCUCAUGCUCUUCCUCUCCAUGCAAUCACCUUGCUGUAUUCGACACACCCCUCUCCCUUAGUUCCGACUCGUCCCCUCCCACUCUCCCAGCCGUGAUAUUUUUAUUUAUUAUUAUUAUUAUUUUUUUUGUAGGACGGUAGGGGAAAGUCCCGCCUCCCUCGCCUCUGAUUGGCCAGAAAAGCUGGAAACAUCAUCACACGCUCAAGCCGAGCGCGGGCUGUUGGCUCUGUACAUCGAACAGAACAUUACAGAACAUUAACGCACUGAAUCACCUAACCCUAACCCUAACCCUAACCCGACGGACGAGGACAUUUCACAGCCAUUAUGAAUAACCAAUCGGAGCCCAGCACUUCUAGCCAUUCAGAGGCGAAGGAGGGCAGGACCUUCACUUACCAUCCUACAAAAAAAAAAUUUUGCCUCCCGGCCCUCCUCAGAGCCCUUAGCAGCUAAAAGUAGUGUAGUGGCUUAGCAACAGGAGCUGUGAUGAAGAAGGACGCAAAAAGAAAACGCAAGCCGACAGAAAUAAGGGCGGAGACGAAGAGGAAAUGUGACCAAGCGAGGAAUCUAACUGGAAUAAACAUCGGAUCAUUCUUUGAGCCGUGGGGAAAGCUCCGCCAGGAUUUGGGCCUGAAAACAGACGCAGAGACAGCAGAGUUUUUGUUGAACAGGUAAAUAACUCUUAUUAGUCUCUGCUAUGUCAAUACGGUAGCUGUCCAGGCAGCUGCAAACGCUGCUCAUUAGCAGAGCUGGCGUUUACUGCCGCUAGUCACUAGCAACUGAACAUGGUGAAUCCUUUUUUAAGCUAGCAACGGAUCUUCUGCCAGAGGAGGUGUGUCUUGGGGAGGGCAAUACAGGUUCAGGGGGGAAUUAUCUUGGAGCACAGAGGGGAGAGGUUUGUGUGUGAGGGGUGGGACGCUUUUUUCAAAUCUGCCUCAACAGCCCAGUUUUUUUCAACUGCUUCUCAGAUGGACAACCAGGACUUCCAAUUAUAGUCUGUAACUGGGACUGACACAAGACAAGCUGCAGAAUUCAAAAGUUGCUGUAAUAACCUGUUUUUAUGAUAAUGUUAGAAAGUUUACAUACAGUGACGCUAAAGAGGAGUGGCUUCGUCUAAAUAUGAGUUUUACAGCUCAGCGGGGUUUUGGGUGAAUCACACACUCUAAUCCACCAGCAGGGGGCAGACAUGGAGCAAAGAUAGAGGUCCAGUCAGUUCACUACAAUAGAGGAAACACCUUUACCUCAGUCUGUGACCCGGCUGUCAGUUAUCAACAGGAGAAGAAAGUCAAAGUUUUGACGUUUAGCAGGUCAGUCUUAAUCAAAAAUUUAUAUAAAAGGUUUUAUUCAUUUAAAGGCAAUAGUCCCAAACUUUGAACUUUUUAUUUUUUUAACUCUUAAAUUGUAAUUUCUUCGUGCUCUGUAGAAUUUACCAGACAAAACAAGGGGAGGAUGAAAUCUCGGACAAUUUUUAAACUGAUCCAUUCAUCGGCUGAUUGAUCUAAAUUGUUUAUAUCUGUACGCUGUCGUUACUGUCAGCUUUGUAAUAUCUUCAACUAUCUGAUGUUGUGUGCCUUUCCAUACAAAUCUGUUAAAAUGAGACGGUUUACAAUGAAGAGGUAAUCUGAGAGAUACUGCGGUCUUUGGCGCCCCCUGGUGGUCAGUCUGUUAAUCUAGCUGAACUCCGGAGGCGUUAAAUAAUGAGUCCAAUGUUUAUUGUUUUAUUAAAGAAAUACACACGCUGGUAACUUCAUCGAGAAAAAGUAGAUCCAGGUUCAUGUUUCCCAUGUUUCACCAACCCUCUUCAGACUUUAGUGGACCCAGAAGACCAGGUUCUGGAGUCUGACAGUGAGAUGUUUUGGCCUGAUAGAGGAUUUCAGCGGCUCUAUAGUCCAGGGUUUGCUUGGACCCUCUACUCUUAAAAACCGAGGAUGCAGCAUCUAUGAUUUACAAUUCUUCGUUGAAAGGACAACUGGACUUUCUUGAAACGUCCCAAGUAAGUCCAGUUGUCCUUUCCAUGCAGUGAUUCCCACUCCAGAGUCCUGUCUGUUUUUAAUGCCCUGAAGACCAGGACCAUCCAUUCCUGGUUUUGGUCCUUUUUUUAUAUUUUAUGUUUCUUAAAUGUUGGCAGAUUUUAAAAACUUGUCCCUAAAGUUUUACUAUUUUUUUUUAAGUCUGCUGUUAUAGCACCGACUUUGUUCAUAAGCAAAUGCACAAAAGCAUUUUCUUGCCUUCUUUAAAGACAUUGUGUAGGAAAAUAAACACAAGAGUUAAUAUGAAUUAAUACAUUUCACAAAGGAAAUUCAGAUUACAAAAUUAGAAUUCUGUAUUUAAGAAAACAAAAACUCUCUUUUUUGGGUUUAAACCAUAGACUGUAUAUACUAUGGACAACAUAGUUCUGCCUUCCGCCAGUAUACGGAUUUGAAGCCAAAAAUCUCUUGGUAAUUCUACGUGUUUUUUUCUCCAUUUCCUGGAACCAACAUUGUGCAGUCGUGUUGUGCGCAUUCGGUGGGAGUCUCUGUGAUGAUGCUCGGCUCAAACAGCGUGUCCCUACUCAAUCUUGGUAUGCCCAUAGGCUGUAUCAAGUGUCAAUCAUAGAAAACAUGAACCCCCUAAUAACUUUUAAAAACAGAGCUGUACAGAAAAAAAGAGGACUUGAGCACAAACCAGUCUGACAGUAUCUACAUGUCAACAUCACAACCAGGGAGGAGAAACAUUUAUAUUCUGUGUCAUUAAUUUCUAUAGUUUGUCCACAACUUCAUAAGCUUUGCUGGCAGAGGCAGGAUUUAUGACCUAUACUGCAGCCCGUCACCAGAGGGUGCUGUUCCUUGGAGUGGCUUCACCCAGCAGGGAGGCAGACGGCGUGCAUUCUAUAUACAGUCUAUGGUUCAAAUCCGGUCUGCAGCCUGUAAAAAAGACCAAACAAACUCUAAAAUCAGAAUAAAGACACGGACACGGAGAGCUUUGUAACAGAGCCUGUAUAUUUUGUAUAUUUUUGUACAUUUUUCUGCAAAAUACAAAUACUAGCACAUUUGUGAGUGAGGGACUUUGCUGUACAUGAUCUUUGACUGCGAACACAGUUUGAUUUUAAUCUGAGAAACAUUGUCUCCAAAGUGGCGACAAAGGCCAGCUUAUGCCGCUAACAAUCUCUUUUUUUGAGGAUUUUUACACCGGUGGUUAUUUUUGAAAGCGCGUUCAGAGGGGAAAGUUGAAAUUUACAACAUGGAGAACAUUCACCGAUGUCUCUAAACACGAAUUGAAUAAUUUCUUUUGUUUCCAGGCAGUUACUUGUUACAGAAUCAAACCAAAGAAAAAACACAAUAAACAGGCUAUUUCACACUUUGGUUAGUUGACACUCCAUCUGUCACCUCCACCCGCUCACAGUCGACUCUGCCCAACUGGAGGUGGAGCUCCUGGCUCUCCUGAUCCCCCCUGGGUGGCUCUGACCGGGUGGGUGUGUUUCAGUGAGUCUGAACCGGAGACAACACACUCGUUGUAACAUAAAGGAGUGCCGAAAAAAAACAACAACACGGGCUCUGCCCUUCAACACGCGGCUAACUAAAGGCAGCUAGUGCAGCUAACAGGGGGCUGAGUCUGAUUUUAGUGGCUAACGGGGACAGACAGACUGCUGACUGUGGCCGAAGGUCUGAGCUCCAAAUAUACAGUUUUUAAACCAAAAUAUUCAAAUGUGAACAACCCUCAGCCAUAGCUCCGUCUGCUGCUAAUAGAAAACUGUGGACGUCAGAUUCUGUUCAGGUGUGUAAGUGUCAGAGCAGCUUAGGUACAAGGCACCAGUUAUCUUCACGUCUGCAGUGACUCUGUAACUCCACGGCACAAACACAGCAGCGGAAAAAUGAAGUACAUUCACUCAAAUAAGCCUCAGAAUUUUUUUUUUAGUGUUUUUUCAUUUUGAGAACAGGUAAACUUGACUUUGACUUUCAGGUGAAGCUUGAAUCCCCAAAGGUGUUGAAACUCAAAGCCUAACCCCCAAUUUCCACCGCAUCUGAUCGUAACCAUUCAAGUUAACGCGGGAAUUUCCACCGCAUCUUUCUGUUCAGCUGCGGAUCGCCGGACUUUGCAGCUGAUCACAAUUCAGCACAGAUUAACCCGUGCUGGAAAGGAAGUCAGGCACAGACACAAAAUAAAACAUUGAGCUUCUUUUCAAAAUAAAACACUCAAUGUUUCCGGAGGAUCGUAUUUCACACCAUGCCAACGGGCGGAGACAAACAAGUGAAUGAUUUUUAGACAUCAUUUCACCCUGAUGACACCAUGGUUGAGGAGAUGCUGAUUCUAGAAGUCUAGAAGUAGAUUUCCUCCUCUGGAAGGACACAAUCUUUUGCUUUUAUAGUUAUGUAGCUGUCUUUAUAGAGACAACUCGUUAUCACACGAUUGCACUUGAAUCUGCGUGUUCUUGCGAGUUCUCGCAGUUACUGCUGUCCGUAGUCUGCCAUGAAAUUUGCCUCACAAACGGAUCUGGUAGGAAUUGGCGGACAGCGAAAUCACUGCAGUCCUUAAUCGGAGCCGUUAUGGAUGCGGUGAAAAUUGGGGGUAAGAGGAAGAAGCUUAAGGACCUGCAGUUCCUCAAGUGUCCAUUAGAGGCUGGCACCAAAAGUGAGCCAGUCCCUAUAGAGCUCCAUGUUAAAAGUUCCAACUGUACAGCAGAAUUAAACAUGUUCACAGCCUGGUACAAAACCAGUUUUAGUGUCUCUGGUUUACUUUUUUGUUUGCUCACACUUCAGGAGUGAUUUUUCUAAAAUAACUUUUUAUUAUUUUGAGGCUCAUAGCUAUGAAUAAUCUGUCAUAAAUAGGUGUGAAGUUUCUAACCACCUUUUUUAACUGGGGUUUUACACGAGUAAAUGCUCUCUGCACUUCUUCCAUUGCUGCACAUGCUGUUGGUUUGACCUCAGAGUCUCUGCAGGACCAGGUUGAAGUUGUGCUUUUGUCCUCUGUGCUCAUUGAUUGUCUCUGUCUGACACCAACUGAACAGGAAACCUUAAACUGACCUAAAAUCUCCCUGAAAGUUUCAUAGAAAAUGUCUCUGCUUUUUUCUUAUAUUACUGUUUUCUUAUUAAAUAGAGCUGCAGACAUCGACAAUAUCAAUUUGAUACAAUAAGAAAAACACAACACUAUAAACUCUGUGCAGCAAAGCAUCAGCAACCUGUUGGAUAUGGCUUUAAGGAGUGCAACCCUCACUCUGAUGAAUCCUGCAAAGCUCUCUGCACAUGCUCCACCUCUUCUUCUCUCUCUUUCUCUUUGACUCUUUUUCCGUUUGUGCUCAACAACACCAUCAAAAUCUGUCCUUCAAUAAGUUUCAGCUCAUCAAAAGCUCCUGUGAGGAGUUUGUUAUUUUUUGGGUACCUCCGUAUGUCUGAGAAGAGCAGAAAAAAAACCUUCACUGUCACGAAUGAACUGGAGGUUUCCACGGCGUUCUCUGCAGAGAAGGCAUCAGGAAAAGUAACUGAUAGCUACUAAAACAACUUAUUUAAAGGACAAAGAUUCUCAACGAGGGGUAAACUUGAUUGUUAAAAUAAAGUGAAAGUAUAGAGACAGAUUAAAAAGAAACAAGGCGUAUGCAUAAAAAAACAAAAGUUCCGCACAGGAGCUUUAAAACCACAGAGCUCUGUUUUUAUUUAGAAGAUAAUGUCGGCUGUUUAGAUUUCUAUGGAAGCAAAAAGGGACAAAACAAUUAAAAUUUUGCUGCAUAUCACCAAUCUGAGCUACUGCUGAAAUUAAAAAACAUAACAGUUACCAUUUAAAAGCUUUAAAGACAUCCUGAUUUUCAAUUUCAACAAAAUUGAAUUUUUUUAUUUUCAUUUAACUUCUUUGAAUCUCGGUUUUUAUUUAACUUUUAAAAAAAUUAGGUUCCUAAAAAGUGACGAGACAGAAAUAAAGAAAUGAAGAUGGAAACUAAAUUUUUACAUUAUGUUGGUGAAGUUUAAAGUCAUGGAUUUAAUGCAGAAAUUACAUUUUUUGAUCAGAUGGAUGGUUUUGGUGUAAUUAAAAAAUAAAUCAUAGGUCUUAGUUUCUUUUAUCUAAAAUCUAUUAUUAUGUUUUUACACAGUUUGUAAUUUUAUAUUUCUUAAAAAUAACACUAAACUUUUACAUUUUAAAGGUUAAUUGAUUUUUUUAAUCAUUUAUAACAUUUUGUCCUCUUUUUGCUUCCACACCUUUCUCAAUCCGGAUAAAAAUUGCCGCAAAAUAACAGAUUUCUGCUUAAACAGCUCUGAAAAUCAUCCACUGACUCUCAUUUUCACAUCAAGUGAAAUUCCUUCAAAGCUUCUUUUCUCUGCAGCCUGUUGUUAAUCACUUCCUCGUCACUAUAACCUCCUCUGUCUCAUUUAACUCUUUCUCAUUACAUCAUCUUCAUCACUUCUCGCUGAACUUCCUCUUUCUCUCACUUUCUGUAUAUAUUUGACACCCUUUACCUUCUGUACAUUCAAAGUUAAAUGUGCUCUAAGUUUAAAAUGUUGAACCUGCAACACAGUGUGCAUGCAGAGCUCCGCCCUUGCACAGAGCUCCGCCUCUGCAGUAAUGCUCCGCCUCUGCACGCCUGCUCCUCUCAUGCAUGUUUGAUUUAAACUCACCAGUAGCUUCACGUUCAGAGUACCAGACUUCUUCACUUUUUGUUAGUUUGCAUACAUGUGUGCACAGACUCAGUGUGCAUGUAACAUAUUUUUGUUAUUUACGUAUAUUCCCCUGCCCCCGAAUGCACACACACACAAAACAAGCGAUACAAACUCCCAGGCUGCUCACGUACGUAUUCGACCCCCAAAAACAGGUUUAUCAAACCAAUAAAAGACUUCUGGAGUCAAAAUCCUUCACUUUAAAGAGAGAAAGAAGAAUAGAGGGGGUUCAAGGGUCACAGGAAAGAAAGUAGAAUUUUUUAUUCUGCUGAACUUUUUGCAUGUUUAGACGUUUAACUCAGUUUUUAGUGGAAGUGUGCAGUGAUUUUAUUUUAAAAUCCAGGCAACCUUCACAAGAACGAGCUUGUUUCAGGGUGAUUAUGGGACGGGAAAAGAAGUUCAGCUUUUGAAAAGACAAGGAAGGAUAAAUUGCGUCUAUUUCACAUCUAUUUGGAAAGACAGAUGUGUAGAAGAGGGAGUGAGAUGUUAUAAAAGCUGAGAGUAUAAACUUUUUAGAAGAGUUUCUGCUCUGGGUCUUUAUAGGGACACCUGAGAGAGAUGCUGUAAUCAGUCAGCAUCAUCACAUCAGAUCUCUUUAUCAGCAGGUUAGUGUUGGAGUAAACGCCCUGAGCAACAAAGAUGACACCUAAAAAAAUUAUUUUUUUAUUGAUCUGAUGCACCGGGCCUAAAAGGGUUGAACUUUCAGGAUAAUUUGGAUCAGAAAAGAGAUUUUAAACUUUUUUAUUUGCAGCAGAAUUUUGGGGAAAAUAUGAAAAAAAAUCUCCUUUUCUAAAUCUUUUUGUUUGAAUGACGAAAUCUUUACGCCUCUGUGGAUUAUGAUCAGAAUUUUCAUGACUGAUUUUUUCUUGUUUUGCUCUCUGCAGUUUUAAAUGUACUUCUCUCCUCUGAGGAAACAGAAGAAACUUUGAUAAAUCGGCUCCGUCUCUCUCUCCAGUGAAGGAUUCUGUCCCUCUCAGCGGUCUGAUAAACCCUGAUCUCUGUCUGUCAGGCGCCUCUCCUCUCAGGUAUGGGUCGCCCUGCUCUACAUGUUGUGAAAACAGCAGCUUGUCGCUGAAUUCACUCAAACAGACUUGUGUCAGCCCCUCUCAUGUUCACGUUACAUGUUAGCACACCCACUCAGUACAGAAGAAUAUGAUAAUAAUUAUAAUAUUAAUAUUAAUUAAUAAUAAUAACACUAUAU